This 433-nucleotide ribosomal RNA is filed under the name uncultured bacterium. Its description in RNAcentral is "partial 16S ribosomal RNA". It matches the Rfam family "Bacterial small subunit ribosomal RNA", at positions 29 to 507 of the family's 1533-position model. The record is from RNAcentral.
AACGAACGCUGGCGGCAGGCUUAACACAUGCAAGUCGAACGCACCUUUCGGGGUGAGUGGCAGACGGGUGAGUAACGCGUGGGAAUCUACCCUUCUCUACGGGAUAGCUCCGGGAAACUGGAAUUAAUACCGUAUACGUCCUGAGGGAGAAAGAUUUAUCGGGGAAGGAUGAGCCCGCGUUGGAUUAGCUAGUUGGUGGGGUAAAGGCCUACCAAGGCGACGAUCCAUAGCUGGUCUAAGAGGAUGAUCAGCCACAUUGGGACUGAGACACGGCCCAAACUCCUACGGGAGGCAGCAGUGGGGAAUAUUGGACAAUGGGCGCAAGCCUGAUCCAGCCAUGCCGCGUGAGUGAUGAAGGCCCUAGGGUUGUAAAGCUCUUUCAGCGGGGACGAUAAUGACGGUACCCACAGAAGAAGCCCCGGCUAACUUCGUG